AGCAGCCGCGGUAAUUCCAGCUCCAAUAGCGUAUAUUAAAGUUGUUGCAGUUAAAAAGCUCGUAGUUGAAUUUCGGGAUCAGUAUGUUGGUCGUGCCUUCGGUACGUACUGGCUUUACUGGUUCCUCCUUCUUGAAGAACUGUAAUGUCAUUAAUUUGGUGUUGCAGGGAAACAGGACUGUUACUUUGAAAAAAUUAGAGUGUUUAAAGCAGGCUAACGCUUGAAUACAUUAGCAUGGAAUAAUGAAAUAGGACGUUCGAUCCUAUUUUGUUGGUUUCUAGGAUUGACGUAAUGAUUAAUAGGGAUAGUUGGGGGCAUUAGUAUUCAAUUGUCAGAGGUGAAAUUCUUGGAUUUAUUGAAGACUAACUACUGCGAAAGCAUUUGCCAAGGAUGUUCUCAUUAAUCAAGAACGAAAGUUAGGGGAUCGAAGACGAUCAGAUACCGUCGUAGUCUUAACCAUAAACUGUGCCGACUAGGGAUCGGAUGAUGUUAAUUUUUUAAUGACUCA
This 508-nucleotide ribosomal RNA is filed under the name uncultured Sclerocystis. RNAcentral describes it as "SSU rRNA". It matches the Rfam family "Eukaryotic small subunit ribosomal RNA", at positions 569 to 1078 of the family's 1831-position model. The record is from RNAcentral. Lineage: Eukaryota; Fungi; Glomeromycota; Glomeromycetes; Glomerales; Glomeraceae.